UUCCGGCCAAAGUUCCGACGGCGACAUGGCCUCCUGGCGCCUGAUUUUCUCUACCGGGGCGUCCCGGCUGCCCUGCAGCCUCGCUCCUCGGCGGUUUUUCAGUUGUGGGACAAAAAUAUUAUGUCAAAGCACUGAAGCUGCCCAGGCUAAAUUCUUUCCUCCCAUUCAAAAAGUGAUGCUACCUCCCAAUAGUUUUCAAGGAAAAGUGGCGUUCAUUACUGGGGGAGGCACCGGCCUUGGGAAAGCAAUGACAACCUUCCUGUCCAGCCUGGGUGCUCAGUGCGUGAUAGCCAGCAGGAAUAUUGAUGUUCUGAAAGCUUCUGCAGAACAGAUUUCAUCUCAGACUGGAAAUAAGGUUCAUCCAGUUCAGUGUGAUGUGAGAGAUCCUAACAUGGUACAGAAGGCAGUGUCAGAACUGAUCAAAGCAGCAGGUCUUCCUGAUGUCGUGAUAAACAACGCAGCAGGAAAUUUUAUUUCUCCCUCUGAAAGACUGUCACCUAAUGCUUGGAAGACGAUCAAUGACAUAGUUCUGAAUGGCACAGCCUAUGUGACGCUAGAGAUUGGAAAACAACUAAUUAAAGCACAGAAAGGAGCAGCAUUUCUUAGUAUCACAACCAUCUAUGCUGAGAGUGGAUCAGGUUUUGUGGUGCCAAGUGCUUCUUCCAAAGCAGGCGUGGAAGCCAUGAGCAAGUCUCUUGCAGCUGAAUGGGGUAGAUAUGGAAUGCGAUUCAAUGUGAUUCAGCCGGGGCCUAUAAAAACCAAAGGUGCCUUUAGCCGUAUGGACCCAACUGGAGCAUUUGAGAGAGAAAUGAUUGACAGAAUUCCCUGUGGUCGGCUAGGGACUGCAGAAGAACUGGCAAAUCUCGCUGUUUUCCUUUGUAGUGAUUAUGCUUCUUGGAUUAAUGGAGCAGUCAUCAGAUUUGAUGGUGGAGAGGAAGUGUUCAUAUCAGGUGAAUUCAACAGUCUGAGGAAGGUUACCAAGGAACAAUGGGACACGAUAGAAGGACUUAUCAGGAAGACAAAAGGCUCCUGAGGUGACUACAUGCCUUCAUCGUGGUGACACUAAAGUCAGACAAUAGAGUGCAAACCGACUGUAGUAUGAUAGGAUAUUUUUUCUUCAAGUUGUAAAAACUUAGGACGACUGAACUGCUUGGGUCUCUGCCACCAAGUGGAGACACUGAUGGGGCUCAGGUUCUCCUGCCUUCAGCCUGAGCCAACCUGGCUGGCGGGGGUUUAUUUGUGGAGAUAACCAGUGGAUGGAAGAUCUAGCUCUCUGUUCCUCUCCCCUUCUCUGUGUCACUCUGUCUUUUUGAUGAAUAAAAAAUAAGUAAGAGUCACUUUAUUUCUGGUAAACAAAAUAACAAAUAAAAUAAUUUUCCAAUAAGUAACAUUAAAUGCUGUUUUAAAAUGUAGAAACGUGGCCUUGUUCAGUGGUGUAGCAAGGUAAUCCUUGACCUGUGAGGCUGGCAUCCCAUAUGGCAGCCAAUUCAGGUUCCAGCUGCUCCAUUUCCAAUUGAGCUCCCUGCUUGUGGCCUGGAAAAGCAUCAGCGGAUGAAGCCCUUGGGCUCCUGCAUCAACUGAGAGACCUGAAUGAAGCUCCUGGCUCCAGGCAUCAGAUCAGCAUCGGUUCACUUGGGGAGUGAACUAACAGG
This is an RNA transcript of Ochotona curzoniae (black-lipped pika), 1652 nucleotides long. It is a transcript of the gene named 2,4-dienoyl-CoA reductase [(3E)-enoyl-CoA-producing], mitochondrial, with no coding region annotated. The transcript has 11 exons. Lineage: Eukaryota; Metazoa; Chordata; Mammalia; Lagomorpha; Ochotonidae. The record is from RefSeq and is a predicted model, not a curated record.